UACGUAGGGUGCGAGCGUUGUCCGGAAUUAUUGGGCGUAAAGGGCUCGUAGGCGGUCUGUUGCGUCAGGAGUGAAAACUCGGGGCUUAACCCCGAGCCUGCUUCUGAUACGGGCAGACUAGAGGUAUGCAGGGGAGAACGGAAUUCCUGGUGUAGCGGUGAAAUGCGCAGAUAUCAGGAGGAACACCGGUGGCGAAGGCGGUUCUCUGGGCCUGUUCUGACGCUGAGGCGCGAAAGCUAGGGGAGCGAACAGG
This 253-nucleotide ribosomal RNA is filed under the name uncultured bacterium. Its description in RNAcentral is "partial 16S ribosomal RNA". It matches the Rfam family "Bacterial small subunit ribosomal RNA", at positions 524 to 776 of the family's 1533-position model. The record is from RNAcentral.